GACGAACGCUGGCGGCGUGCUUAACACAUGCAAGUCGAACGGAAAGGCCCUGCUCUUGUGGGGCUCUCGUGUGGCGCGCGGGUGUGUAACACGUGUGUAACACGCCCUUGUCUUUGGGAUAACUUCAGGAAAAUGGGUAUAAUACAGGAUAGGAUCUCUUGCUGCAUGGUGGGGGUUGGAAAGUUUCGGCGGUUGGGGAUGGUUUCGCGGCAUAUGAGCUAGUUGGUGGGGUAGUGGCUGACCAAGGCUUUGACGGGUAGCCGGCCUGAGAGGGUGACCGGCCACAUUGGGACUGAGAGACGGCCCAGACUCCUACGGGAGGCAGCAGUGGGGAAUAUUCCGCAAUGGGCGAAAGCCUGAGGCAGCAACGCCGCGUGCGGGAUGACGGCCUUCGGGUUGUAAACCGCUUUCGCCUGUGACGAAGCGUGAGUGACGGUAAUGGGUAAAGAAGCACCGGCUAACUACGUG
RNAcentral lists this ribosomal RNA (468 nucleotides) under uncultured bacterium. Its description in RNAcentral is "partial 16S ribosomal RNA". It matches the Rfam family "Bacterial small subunit ribosomal RNA", at positions 28 to 507 of the family's 1533-position model. The record is from RNAcentral.